RNAcentral lists this ribosomal RNA (828 nucleotides) under Priestia endophytica. Its description in RNAcentral is "bacterial SSU rRNA". It matches the Rfam family "Bacterial small subunit ribosomal RNA", at positions 57 to 863 of the family's 1533-position model. Lineage: Bacteria; Bacillati; Bacillota; Bacilli; Caryophanales; Bacillaceae. The record is from RNAcentral.
GCAAGUCGAGCGGAGUUUUGAAAAGCUUGCUUUUCAAAUCUUAGCGGCGGACGGGUGAGUAACACGUGGGCAACCUGCCCUUGAGACGGGGAUAACUCCGGGAAACCGGAGCUAAUACCGGAUAACACAUAUCUUCGCAUGAGGAUAUGUUAGAAGGUGGCUUUUAGCUACCACUCAAGGAUGGGCCCGCGGCGCAUUAGCUAGUUGGUGAGGUAACGGCUCACCAAGGCGACGAUGCGUAGCCGACCUGAGAGGGUGAUCGGCCACACUGGGACUGAGACACGGCCCAGACUCCUACGGGAGGCAGCAGUAGGGAAUCUUCCGCAAUGGACGAAAGUCUGACGGAGCAACGCCGCGUGAGUGAUGAAGGUUUUCGGAUCGUAAAGCUCUGUUGUUAGGGAAGAACAAGUACCUGUUAAAUAAGCAGGUACCUUGACGGUACCUAACCAGAAAGCCACGGCUAACUACGUGCCAGCAGCCGCGGUAAUACGUAGGUGGCAAGCGUUGUCCGGAAUUAUUGGGCGUAAAGCGCGCGCAGGCGGUUCCUUAAGUCUGAUGUGAAAGCCCACGGCUCAACCGUGGAGGGUCAUUGGAAACUGGGGAACUUGAGUGCAGAAGAGGAGAGCGGAAUUCCACGUGUAGCGGUGAAAUGCGUAGAGAUGUGGAGGAACACCAGUGGCGAAGGCGGCUCUCUGGUCUGUAACUGACGCUGAGGCGCGAAAGCGUGGGGAGCGAACAGGAUUAGAUACCCUGGUAGUCCACGCCGUAAACGAUGAGUGCUAAGUGUUAGAGGGUUUCCGCCCUUUAGUGCUGCAGCAAACGCAUUAA